This 519-nucleotide ribosomal RNA is filed under the name uncultured eukaryote. Its description in RNAcentral is "SSU rRNA". It matches the Rfam family "Eukaryotic small subunit ribosomal RNA", at positions 1161 to 1693 of the family's 1831-position model. The record is from RNAcentral.
AGGGCACCACCAGGAGUGGAGCCUGCGGCUUAAUUUGACUCAACACGGGAAAACUUACCCGGCCCGGACACUGGAAGGAUUGACAGAUUGAGAGCUCUUUCUUGAUUCAGUGGGUGGUGGUGCAUGGCCGUUCUUAGUUGGUGGAGCGAUUUGUCUGGUUAAUUCCGAUAACGAACGAGACUCUAGCCUACUAAAUAGACCAGAGGCUUCUUAAAACACGUCUCUGGCUGCUUCUUAGAGGGACAGGCGGCGAUUCAGCCGCACGAAACAGAGCAAUAACAGGUCUGUGAUGCCCUUAGAUGUCCGGGGCCGCACGCGCGCUACACUGAAGUGAUCAGCGUGCUUUUUAUACCCUGCUCUGCCAAGAGUGGGUAACCCAAUGAACCUUCUUCGUGAUUGGGAUAGGGGAUUGUAAUUAUUCCCCUUGAACGAGGAAUUCCCAGUAAGCGCGAGUCAUAAGCUCGCGUUGAUUACGUCCCUGCCCUUUGUACACACCGCCCGUCGCUACUACCGAUUGAA